GGAGGGGUGGCCGAGCGGUCCAAGGCAACGGUUUGCUAAACCGUGACCCUUUAACCGGGGUCCGUGGGUUCGAAUCCCACCCCCUCCGCCA
This 91-nucleotide transfer RNA is filed under the name bacterium. RNAcentral describes it as "tRNA-Ser". It matches the Rfam family "tRNA". From Rfam's summary of the family: Transfer RNA (tRNA) molecules are approximately 80 nucleotides in length. Their secondary structure includes four short double-helical elements and three loops (D, anti-codon, and T loops). RNAcentral also lists the same sequence under 2 other names. The record is from RNAcentral.